This is a non-coding RNA of Bos taurus (domestic cattle), 73 nucleotides long. The record is from Rfam. Lineage: Eukaryota; Metazoa; Chordata; Mammalia; Artiodactyla; Bovidae.
UCCCUGGUGGUUCAGUGGCGAAGACUCUGCACUCCCAAUGCAGGUGGCCUAGGUUCAAUCCCUGGUCAGGAAA